CCUACGGGUGGCUGCAGUGGGGAAUAUUGCACAAUGGGCGCAAGCCUGAUGCAGCCAUGCCGCGUGUGUGAAGAAGGCCCUCGGGUUGUAAAGCACUUUCAGCGGGGAGGAAGGCGGUGAGGUUAAUAACCUCAUCGAUUGACGUUACCCGCAGAAGAAGCACCGGCUAACUCCGUGCCAGCAGCCGCGGUAAUACGGAGGGUGCAAGCGUUAAUCGGAAUUACUGGGCGUAAAGCGCACGCAGGCGGUCUGUCAAGUCGGAUGUGAAAUCCCCGGGCUCAUCCUGGGAACUGCAUUCGAAACUGGCAGGCUAGAGUCUUGUAGAGGGGGGUAGAAUUCCAGGUGUAGCGGUGAAAUGCGUAGAGAUCUGGAGGAAUACCGGUGGCGAAGGCGGCCCCCUGGACAAAGACUGACGCUCAGGUGCGAAAGCGUGGGGAGCAAACAGGAUUAGAUACCCGUGUAGUC
RNAcentral lists this ribosomal RNA (465 nucleotides) under uncultured Klebsiella sp. RNAcentral describes it as "bacterial SSU rRNA". It matches the Rfam family "Bacterial small subunit ribosomal RNA", at positions 338 to 795 of the family's 1533-position model. The record is from RNAcentral. Lineage: Bacteria; Pseudomonadati; Pseudomonadota; Gammaproteobacteria; Enterobacterales; Enterobacteriaceae.